This 253-nucleotide ribosomal RNA is filed under the name uncultured bacterium. RNAcentral describes it as "partial 16S ribosomal RNA". It matches the Rfam family "Bacterial small subunit ribosomal RNA", at positions 524 to 776 of the family's 1533-position model. The record is from RNAcentral.
UACGUAGGUGGCAAGCGUUGUUCGGAAUUAUUGGGCGUAAAGGGCGCGUAGGCGGUCGAUCAAGUCGAGUGUGAAAGCCCCCGGCUCAACUGGGGAGGGUCAUUCGAUACUGAUCGACUCGAAGGCAGGAGAGGGUAGUGGAAUUCCCGGUGUAGUGGUGAAAUGCGUAGAUAUCGGGAGGAACACCAAUGGCGAAGGCAGCUCGCUGGGACGGUACUGACGCUGAGACGCGAAAGCGUGGGGAGCAAACAGG